AUUAUAAUUCCAAUUAUUAAAGAAAGACGAGUAAGAAUAUUGUUGGUGUUCUUAACUCAAGAGAAAUGUUUUCAAUUAUUUAUUAAAUUUUGAAAACCCGGCUAAGUGAAUCAUAGAAUGUUAAGCACUACACCAUGACUUAAGUUAGCUUCACGAGACCUAUUAAGAAUAGAAUUUCUUGUAGGCUUUAUGAACCAAGGGGAUUAGCGCUGCUUUCCCAAGACGAGUUUAUGUGAUUAUGAUCUUCAGGCUUUGCCUAUCCAGGUUGAGCAGUUGAUGGAAUGGAAUGAUGUUGAGCGGGUGUUCCUUUGACAUUUCAAGAAAUGUAACCUUGAGUAUACAUCUUCAUAUGUAUAUCUCACACGUUUUCCGCUGCAAAACACUUUGAUUAGGAUAACUUUAUGUUAUGAAAUUGUGACACGUGUUAUUGGGUAACCCACCUUAAUCAGUUCUCAUUUAUGUGUAUGUUUUAUAAGUAUCCAAAUAAUCAUAUAUGAUCCUAGCAUUUUAUCUAUGAGUGACAUUUCCAUAUACUUUAAUGUUAA
This is a long non-coding RNA of Salvia miltiorrhiza (redroot sage), 545 nucleotides long. RefSeq lists it as uncharacterized. The transcript has 2 exons. NCBI's taxonomy places the organism in Eukaryota, Viridiplantae, Streptophyta, Magnoliopsida, Lamiales, Lamiaceae. The record is from RefSeq and is a predicted model, not a curated record.